RNAcentral lists this ribosomal RNA (547 nucleotides) under Salmonella enterica. RNAcentral describes it as "partial 23S ribosomal RNA". It matches the Rfam family "Bacterial large subunit ribosomal RNA", at positions 2231 to 2777 of the family's 2925-position model. The record is from RNAcentral. Lineage: Bacteria; Pseudomonadati; Pseudomonadota; Gammaproteobacteria; Enterobacterales; Enterobacteriaceae.
ACCCGUUACCCGGGUUGCGGACAGUGUCUGGUGGGUAGUUUGACUGGGGCGGUCUCCUCCUAAAGAGUAACGGAGGAGCACGAAGGUUGGCUAAUCCUGGUCGGACAUCAGGAGGUUAGUGCAAUGGCAUAAGCCAGCUUGACUGCGAGCGUGACGGCGCGAGCAGGUGCGAAAGCAGGUCAUAGUGAUCCGGUGGUUCUGAAUGGAAGGGCCAUCGCUCAACGGAUAAAAGGUACUCCGGGGAUAACAGGCUGAUACCGCCCAAGAGUUCAUAUCGACGGCGGUGUUUGGCACCUCGAUGUCGGCUCAUCACAUCCUGGGGCUGAAGUAGGUCCCAAGGGUAUGGCUGUUCGCCAUUUAAAGUGGUACGCGAGCUGGGUUUAGAACGUCGUGAGACAGUUCGGUCCCUAUCUGCCGUGGGCGCUGGAGAACUGAGGGGGGCUGCUCCUAGUACGAGAGGACCGGAGUGGACGCAUCACUGGUGUUCGGGUUGUCAUGCCAAUGGCACUGCCCGGUAGCUAAAUGCGGAAGAGAUAAGUGCUGAAAG